ACGCACGCUGGCGGCGUGCUUAACACAUGCAAGUCGCACGGAAAGGCCCUGCUUUUGUGGGGUGCUCGAGUGGCGAACGGGUGAGUAACACGUGAGUAACCUGCCCUUGACUUUGGGAUAACUUCAGGAAACUGGGGCUAAUACCGGAUAGGAGCUCCUGCUGCAUGGUGGGGGUUGGAAAGUUUCGGCGGUUGGGGAUGGACUCGCGGCUUAUCAGCUUGUUUGUGGGGUAGUGGCUUACCAAGGCUUUGACGGGUAGCCGGCCUGAGAGGGUGACCGGCCACAUUGGGACUGAGAUACGGCCCAGACUCCUACGGGAGGCAGCAGUGGGGAAUAUUGCACAAUGGGCGGAAGCCUGAUGCAGCAACGCCGCGUGCGGGAUGACGGCCUUCGGGUUGUAAACCGCUUUCACCUGUGACGAAGCGUGAGUGACGGUAAUGGGUAAAGAAGCACCGGCUAACUACGUG
This 467-nucleotide ribosomal RNA is filed under the name uncultured bacterium. RNAcentral's name for it is "partial 16S ribosomal RNA". It matches the Rfam family "Bacterial small subunit ribosomal RNA", at positions 29 to 507 of the family's 1533-position model. The record is from RNAcentral.